Molecule: transfer RNA, 71 nt
Filed under: Candidatus Wildermuthbacteria bacterium RIFCSPHIGHO2_01_FULL_49_22b
Lineage: Bacteria; Candidatus Wildermuthiibacteriota
Description: tRNA-Gly
Rfam family: tRNA
About the family: Transfer RNA (tRNA) molecules are approximately 80 nucleotides in length. Their secondary structure includes four short double-helical elements and three loops (D, anti-codon, and T loops).
Source: RNAcentral
GCGGGCGUCGUAUAACGGCAAUACCAGACCCUUCCAAGGUCUUGCUAGGGGUUCAAUUCCCCUCGCCCGCU